Molecule: non-coding RNA, 8094 nt
Organism: Equus caballus (horse)
Lineage: Eukaryota; Metazoa; Chordata; Mammalia; Perissodactyla; Equidae
Source: RefSeq, a predicted model, not a curated record
CCCUGCGCCCCCGCCCCGGCGUGCGAGGCGCCGCGCCCUCCCGCUGCCCUGCCUGGUGCAUGGAGGGGCCCGUUCGGAUCGCAGCCGCCGACGCCGCCGUAGCCGCCGCCAGCGCGCGGGGGAUGACCUGGGGGUGGCUGUCGCAGCCCGCUGCCGCGCAGGAGGUCUGGGGGCUUAGCCUGCCCCGCUGAGAGUGAGCCAAGGCCUGGAUUUUCCUCUGGAAGUCUGUCCUGCCCACUUCCGUAAUCUGGCGCUAUGCAUCCUGAUCCUGGACCCUUACAGACACUGCUGUUUGUUACCCUUCUGAUUCUGUGCUCUUCUGUGAGUUCAGACUUGGCACCUUAUUUUAUUUCUGAGCCAUUGUCUGCUGUCCAGAAACUUGGUGGACCUGUAGUACUGCAUUGUUCUGCUAAACCGGUGACCGCUCAUAUCUCAUGGCUGCAUAAUGGAAAAAGGUUGGACAGAAACGUGGAACGGAUUAAGAUUCAUCAGGGGACUUUGACUAUUCUUUCUCUUAACCACUCCCUCACGGGUUACUACCAGUGCAUUGCCAACAACAGCAUCGGUGCCAUUGUGAGUGGCCCUGCCAUGGUAUCCACUGCAGUUCUUGGUGAUUUUGGCUCAUCAACAAAGCAUGUUAUUACAGCAGAAGAAAAAAGUACUGGUUUCAUUGGCUGCGAGGUACCAGAUAGUAACCCCAAAGCUGAGGUGCGCUAUAAAAUCCGGGGAAAGUGGCUGAAACAUUCCACAGAGAAUUACUUAAUCCUUCCGUCAGGAAAUCUUCAGAUUUUGAAUGUAUCCUUAGAGGACAAGGGGUCGUAUAAAUGUGCAGCUUUUAAUCCUGUCACACAUGAGUUAAAAGUUGAACCCAUCGGCCGAAAGCUCCUUGUGAAUCGCCCUUCUUCAGAUGAUUUUCACAUUCUUCACCCCACCCUUUCACAGGCAUUAGCUGUUCUUUCUCACAGCCCCGUAACCCUGGAGUGUGUGGUGAGCGGGGUCCCAGCUUCUCAAGUGCACUGGCUGAAGGACGGUCAGGAUGCUGUGCUGGGAAGCCGCUGGAGAAGGCUGUACUCUCAUCUUGCCACGGAUAGCAUUGACCCAGGGGACUCUGGGAACUAUUCCUGUGUGGUGGGAACCAAGUCUGGAGAUGUAAAACAUGUGACUUACGUGGUUAAUGUACUUGAACACGCUUCAAUUUCUCAAGGACUGCAGGACCAGACCGUGUCUCUGGGUGCCACAGUAGAAUUUACUUGUGAGGUUCAUGGGAACCCAGCUCCCAACCGUUCCUGGUUUCAUAACGCACAGCCCAUUCACCCUUCCCCACGACAUCUCACUGCAGGAAAUGGGUUGAAAAUCGUUGGUGUGACCGUGGAAGAUUCGGGGCUGUAUCAGUGUGCAGCUGACAACGGGGUUGGAUUUAUGCAGUCUACUGGGAGACUUGAAAUUGAAAAAGACCGUGGACUCAAGCCAGUUAUAAUUACAGCGCCAGCAAGUGCCAAGGUGGUAGAUGGAGACUUUGUUACUUUGUCCUGCAAUGCCACUGGAGUGCCGGUUCCAGUGGUUCGCUGGUAUGACAGGCAUGGAUUGAUAACCAGCCAUCCGUCUCAAGUCCUUAGAUCUAAAUCCCGAAAGUCACACUUAUUAAGACCUGCGGGCUUUGACCUGGAGCCCGUCUCCUUCGUCAUGUCCCGAGCUGGCUCGAGCUCUCUGUAUAUUCAGGCUGUUACUCAGGAGCAUGCUGGGAAGUACACCUGCGAAGCUACGAAUGACCAUGGCACCACCCAGUCGGAAGCAGUCCUCACAGUUGUUCCUUUUGAAACAAAUACAAAAGCAGAAAUAGUCAUACCUUCUGAGCCCACUCAAAAUGAUGAAAGAGAUGAUUCAGAAACUGGAUUACUGAGCUCAUUUCCAGUGAAGGAACAUUCCAGUGCAGUGGAGUCAACUUCAGAGAAAAAUGCUAGUGGUGCCUCUGUCCCGGAUGCCCCCAUCAUUCUGAGCCCUCCGCAGACCCGCACACCAGACACGUACAGCCUGGUGUGGAGGGCAGGCAAGGAUGGCGGCCUGCCCAUCAAUGCCUACUUUGUGAAGUAUCGAAAGCUAGACGACGGUGUUGGCCUGGUGGGAAGCUGGCACACAGUUCGAGUCCCAGGAAGUGAGAAUGAGCUGCAUUUAACGGAACUGGAGCCGUCCAGUCUCUAUGAAGUUCUCAUGGUGGCACGCAGCGCAGCCGGCGAAGGGCAGCCUGCCAUGCUCACCUUCCGGACCAGCAAAGAGAAAAUAGCAUCAUCAAAAAACACCCAGGCGUCCUCUCCGCCCAUGGGCGUCCCUAAACGCCCUGUUGUUCCAGAGGCUGCAGACAGCUUCGGGGUGGUGCUUCCAGAUCCCUCCAGGCAUAGUGGAGUUCCGGAAGCACCUGAUCGGCCCACCAUCUCCACCGCCUCGGAGACGUCCGUCUACGUCACUUGGAUUCCUCGGGCAAACGGGGGUUCUCCAAUCACCGCCUUCAAGGUGGAAUAUAAACGGAUGAGGACUAGCGAUUGGCUGGUGGCUGCGGAAGAUAUCCCUCCUUCCAAACUUUCUGUGGAAGUUCGUAGUUUAGAGCCAGGUUCAACAUACAAAUUUAGGGUCAUUGCCAUCAACCAUUAUGGUGAGAGUUUCCGGAGUUCGGCGUCCCGUCCUUACCAGGUGGCUGGGUUCCCCAAUCGGUUUUCUAACCGCCCCAUAACUGGACCUCACAUUGCCUAUACAGAAGCCGUCAGUGACACUCAGAUCAUGCUCAAGUGGACGUACAUUCCAUCAAGUAACAAUAACACUCCCAUUCAAGGAUUUUAUAUCUACUACCGGCCAACAGACAGUGACAAUGACAGUGAUUACAAGAGGGAUAUUGUAGAAGGUUCAAAGCAGUGGCACAUGAUUGGCCAUCUGCAGCCAGAAACCUCCUAUGAUAUUAAGAUGCAGUGCUUCAAUGAGGGAGGAGAAAGCGAGUUUAGUAACGUGAUGAUCUGUGAAACUAAAGUGAAACGUGUUCCUGGAGCUUCUGAGUACCCUGUCAGAGACCUGAGUACCCCUCCCAGUUCUUCAGGAAACGGGGGAAAUGUUGGGCCUGCAACCAGCCCCACCAGAAGCAGCGAUAUGUUGUAUCUGAUAGUUGGCUGUGUGCUAGGUGUCAUGGUCCUCAUUCUCAUGGUUUUCAUUGCAAUGUGCCUGUGGAAGAAUCGCCAGCAGAAUACCAUACAGAAAUAUGACCCACCGGGGUAUCUCUGCCAAGGACCAGAUAUUAAUGGGCAGAUGGUGGAAUACGCCACUCUGCCUGGCACCAACCGGAUAAAUGGAAAUGUUCAUGGAAGUUUCAUAAGCAAUGGGGGUCUCAGCAAUGGCUGCUCCCAUCUUCACCAUAAGGUCCCUAACGGAGUCAAUGGAAUUGUGAAUGGGAGCUUAAAUGGAGGCCUUUACUCUGGGCACACGAGCUCUCUAACCAGGACACGUGUGGAUUUUGAACAUCCUCGUCAUCUAAUGAAUGGUGGUGGAAUGUACACAGCAGUACCUCAGACUGACCCGUUGGAGUGCAUUAACUGUCGAAAUUGCCGGAACAACAAUAGAAAUGAGCAGAGAAAAAGAAACUAAGAGGAAAGAAACAGAAGAAUUUAAGGCAUCUUAUUAUCUGGGAACAGCCUUGGUUUUUCAAAUCCUGGUUUCCAGUAUCUCUGAAUUACGUCUAGAUUUUUAUUAAGGGCCUGGCUGUGCUAUAAUACAUCCCACUGUUCUAAGAGCUUCCUCUGCCACGGGACAGGCAUUGCCUGUCCUCCAGGAAAGUGAAGCAUCAGACGACUUGGAAGCCAACAGAUUCAAGAAGAGCCAGACAGCAGAGCCAAUAUUGAACGAGGACAAAGGUAACAACUACUGUGAUACAAAAAUCUCAAGGAGUAGGUGUACCAGUUCAUCCUCACUGGGAUACACGUGUCUUAUCUUGGUAUUGGGUAUGGUCUCUUGUAAGGUAUUUUGGCUAAUUAGUUUAACUGUUGCUCCCUGAUAAUUACUUGCUUAAGAGAAAACGUAUAACAAAGGUCUGAUGUUCUAAUGUUUAUUAUUUAUUUAUUCAGUAUUUUUGAGGUCCUACUCUAUGCCAUUUACUAUGCGCUUGCUGCUGGGCAUUAUGACUUUAAUUAGGGUCUAAUCUACAUUAGUACUUCUACCACUUCCUAGACAAAAGACUUUGGAACGGUUUAACUCCGUUUCCGUCUCCAGUGUUUUGUGUUAUUUUUACAUAUGUUUUCUACAAAUAUUUAAAAUCCUCUACGACAUUCCAAUUACCAUUUUUUGCAGUCAAUAAUUAUUCAGAAUUCCUGAAAUUACCUUUUUUUGUUGCUGCUAGUUUUCUUUUCCAUUUCCUUUCUUCUGUCUGUGGCUCCUCAUUUUCCUUCACCUUGAGCUCCCUUUAGUAUUUCUUGUAGUACAGGUCUGAGGGACAGAUCCUCUCAGUUUUUUGGUCUGAAAAUGUCUUCAAUUCAUCUUCCUUUUUGAAGGAUAUUUAUCACUGUUUAUUGAAUUCUACUUUGCCACUUACUUUCUUUUUGUACUUUAAAGAUGUCAUUCCAUUAUUUUAUUGCUUCUGUCAUUUCUGUUGACAAAUCAUCUGUACAGUUAUUAGUGCUUUUUCAAGAUAAUAAUGCCUUUUUUUUCCUGGAUGCUUUUAUGAUUUUCACUUUGUGUUUUGCUUCCAUCAUGUUAAUUAUUCACAUCUGAAAGUGUAAUUUUCUUUGUAUUUAUUCUGCUUGGGGCUCAUAGAACUUCUUGAAUCCAUGGCUUUAGUUUUCCUCCAUUUUAGGGAAUUCCUAGCCUUUAUCUCUCCAAAUAUGGCUUCUGUCCCGUUCCCCCUUUUCUCUCCCUCAGAGAGACUCUAGCUGUACUUAUUGUUGAACUUUUCACUAUACCUCAUAUGUCUUUUAAGCUUAUUCCUAUAUUUUCCAUCCUUUUGUCUCUCUGCUUCAGUCUGAAUCCUGUGCAAUCCUGUACAAGCUUCAUGUUCAGUAAACCUCUGCCCAUCUGUGCCCAAUUUGCUCUUAACCCCAUGUAUUGGGUUCUUAAUUUCAGCUAUUCUACUUUUUAGUUUAGAAAUUCCAAAUAAUAAUUAUUAUAAGAUUCUAAGUCUCUGCUAAAUUUCUCCAUCUUAUCUAUUUUCUUGAAUAUAUUCAUCCCACUCUUUUAAAGUCUUUGUCUCCGAACGCAAUAUCUCCAUCACUGUUUUUCUCUUGUUCCUCUCUCCUGAUGUGCCUCGUAAUUUUUAACUGAAUUCUGGACGUUGCAUGUAAAACCCCGUAGAAGCUCUGGAAGCUGCUUUUUCCUCCAGAAAGGAUUGACUUUUGCUUUGGGCAGACCAUUAGGCAAGAGGCAGAUUACUGUAACCCAAUUGGGAAUUGAGCUGAUUUAGUGCUGAGUUUUGGUCUUUGUCUGUUCCUGCUUCACCAUUGUUUUUACAAAGUAACCCUUCUGGGGUCCAAGUUAAAGGCCUGGGGUGUUUACUAUCUCUUUGGUAGGCUGUGAACUCCAAUUUCUGUCUUUCAGCCCCAGAAAACUGCCAAAAGUUCUGCUGAGCUGCUUUAGCUUAGCACUUUCUGCUUGACGUCUCAACGUCUCAUCCCGCUCUCAAUUGGGCAGAUGCCUCAAGAGGAGAGUGGUGCUGAAACUCAGGUUCACACUUACCUUCUCUCUGGACUCUCAGCCGCACAAGUGCUUUGAUAGCUGUCUGAUGACUUCAACAGAUUUAAAAUAAAACUCCUCCAUCUUUUUCAGUUGUUCUUGGCAGGAGAGUUGUGCUGAUACAAACUAAUCAAUCAUCGCCAGAGCCAGGAAUUUAAUUUUUAAGUAUUAUUUCCAACAAGUCAGGGUAGCCAUAUAGAUUCCCCUGACCAGAGAUACUUCUGGUUUGUUGAAAUCAGAAUUCUUUUUACUCUCUAAUUCCACAGUUGUUGUCUAGUAUAAUUUCCUCAAUUAUGAGACAGUUGAGUCUGAAAUAGUAUGGAAGAAUAUACACUGGUCUGUAGUUGGUAAUGUGGCAAGCACCCUAUUCUCUUCGGCCAUACAUCUCAAAGUUGGAUGCUCCCAGUGUCUUUUGUAUCUUCUUUUAUAACACUUACUGCAUUAUGUUGUAACCAUUUGCUUACUUGUCCAUCUCCUCUGCUGGACUGGGAGCUGGAACGCUGCUGUAUUUACCUUUAUAUUUUCAGUGCUUACCACAGUGUCUGACAUUUAGAAGAUAUUCAGCAAAUGCUUUUAAAAUAGACGGUUCUUCUGAGUAAGGUUAUUUAUAGAGCUGGAUAACAUCCAUUAAAUUCUCAUUGGUAGUAGUUUGAAUUCAGAAAAGUUCUUUUUUUGCCUCUGACCUUGCCCCACAUUUUGGAUGAAUACCCCAUUUAGAGUCUGAUUCUCAUAAAUUGAAUACAUGCAGAUUUUCAGGUUCCCUGGCUAUUGAGACAGUGAAAGAGACUAAUGACAAAAUAUAAGAAGGGAAGAGACUGAUAACAUGGACAUUUUUAAAUGGCUGUCAGGAGAUUAGUGCUACCCCUUGCCAGCAUCCUAGAAAAGUUUUUUAAGUUCAGAGUUGAAUAAAAUGUACAACAGAACACAUAAGGGAUGCCAUACUCUCCUGGAGUCAUGAUCCAUCCAGCCCAGUGCUCUGAUUCUGACUUCAACAAUCUUCCUUCUAUACCAGUGCCUCCUUCACUUUUUAUUGGCUUAAGACGUUAAGUGGCGUGUGAAUACUUAGGUUUUAUUUGAAUCAGGUUUAUGUUUUUUUGCUAUAUUAUUAAAAGUUAAAAUUACAGUCAUGUUAGAUAAUACUGUACUCAAAUUAUUUGGUACAAACGAAUACCUGACAUACUUUGCUUUUAUUCCAGAUGACUGGUAUCUGAAUUCCACUAAAUGUAUAGUGAGUAUAUUUCUCUAUUUGAAAUUAAAGUUGGACUUAUUUAAUUAAGGAUUUGAUUUACUGACAGAUAUCUUACUCUCUUUCAGGUUCAGAUCUUUCUUCAUGCUUAGCAUUUGGUAUUUCCAAUAACUUGAACCAACAGAGAUGCUAAUAACAGAUGCAUGGACACCUUUUACUAACUUUCAUAUGCCCUAGAAACAUACUAUUCCAUGUUAGAAGGAUAGAAAUCCAAAGAAUUCUUAUCUUUAUUCCCUAACAUUGCCUAUCUCCAGCAAUACUGCUGGUCAGUCCUAUGUGUUUCCUAACAUGCCAAAAUCAAAGCCAAAUGAAAUGUUUUCUCCAGACUUUCUUACUCCUAAUUUUAGAAAUAAAAAAUAUAUUUCUGAGAUUUCAGUUUCUGUUAAUGGUGGAAUAAAUAGCUUGAUCAUUUACAGGUAAUAAUGAUGAAAUCUGGACAAUUUGAAAGUAUUGGAGAAUAACCAAAAGCAGGAAGAAACUGAAUAAAUCUAACCUUGAAAGACGUUGGGUGACAUUUGUUUAUAGAUUUGUGCCUGAGGGCAUUCUCCAAUCUUGGGUCAAGUACCCAAACCAAAGGUGUCAGAGGAUGGAGUUUGAAGCCAAUAGAACACCCGGAAAAUUAGAGGGAAAAAUCUAGUAAAGGAAUGACUAUACAUCUGAAGAAAUAGGAAAAUGUGAUACUUAAGGGAAAAAAAGUCAAUAGAAACAGACUCUGAGAUGACCCAGAUGUCACAAUUAGCAGACGUUGACUUUAAAACAGCUUUUAUAAAUAUGUUCAAAGACUUAAAGGAAGAUAUGCACACAUUGAAUUCACAUAGUGGGAAAUUUCAGCUGAGAAAUAGGAACUAUAAAAAAGACCAAAUGGAAAUUCCAAAGCUGCAAGCAUGAUAACUGGAAUGGACAAUUUACUGGAUGGGCUUAACAGCAGAUUGGAGACAACAGAAGAGAGGCAAUGAACAGGAAGAUCAAUAGAAAUUAUCCAAUCUGAAGAACAGAAAGAAAAGAAUGAAAGAAAACACAUAUCUUGGGUGAAGGCAGGAAAUAAAAGUAGGGCAGAAUUGAAGUGAAUGCUCAGUGCUAAUAAAUUCUAGCAAUUAAUUUUGCAAAGAAAAAAUUGAAAAAUAAAUAAAACCUGGAUUUUGAAUGUCUAA